GGGUUGUGAGGUUAAGCGACUAAGCGUACACGGUGGAUGCCCUGGCAGUCAGAGGCGAUGAAGGACGUGCUAAUCUGCGAAAAGCGUCGGUAAGGUGAUAUGAACCGUUAUAACCGGCGAUGUCCGAAUGGGGAAACCCAGUGCAAUUCGUUGCACUAUCGUUAACUGAAUACAUAGGUUAACGAGGCGAACCGGGGGAACUGAAACAUCUAAGUACCCCGAGGAAAAGAAAUCAACCGAGAUUCCCCCAGUAGCGGCGAGCGAACGGGGAGCAGCCCAGAGUCUGAAUCAGCUUGUGUGUUAGUGGAACGGUCUGGAAAGUCCGACGGUACAGGGUGAUAGUCCCGUACACCAAAAUGCACAGGCUGUGAACUCGAAGAGUAGGGCGGGACACGUGGUAUCCUGUCUGAAUAUGGGGGGACCAUCCUCCAAGGCUAAAUACUCCUGACUGACCGAUAGUGAACCAGUACCGUGAGGGAAAGGCGAAAAGAACCCCGGCGAGGGGAGUGAAAAAGAACCUGAAACCGUGUACGUACAAGCAGUGGGAGCACCUUCGGGUGUGACUGCGUACCUUUUGUAUAAUGGGUCAGCGACUUAUAUUCUGUAGCAAGGUUAACCGUAUAGGGGAGCCGCAGGGAAACCGAGUCUUAACUGGGCGUUAAGUUGCAGGGUAUAGACCCGAAACCCGGUGAUCUAGCCAUGGGCAGGUUGAAGGUUGGGUAACACUAACUGGAGGACCGAACCGACUAAUGUUGAAAAAUUAGCGGAUGACUUGUGGCUGGGGGUGAAAGGCCAAUCAAACCGGGAGAUAGCUGGUUCUCCCCGAAAGCUAUUUAGGUAGCGCCUCGUGAAUUCAUCUUCGGGGGUAGAGCACUGUUUCGGCUAGGGGGUCAUCCCGACUUACCAACCCGAUGCAAACUACGAAUACCGAAGAAUGUUAUCACGGGAGACACACGGCGGGUGCUAACGUCCGUCGUGAAGAGGGAAACAACCCAGACCGCCAGCUAAGGUCCCAAAGUCAUGGUUAAGUGGGAAACGAUGUGGGAAGGCACAGACAGCCAGGAUGUUGGCUUAGAAGCAGCCAUCAUUUAAAGAAAGCGUAAUAGCUCACUGGUCGAGUCGGCCUGCGCGGAAGAUGUAACGGGGCUAAACCAUGCACCGAAGCUGCGGCAGCGACACUAUGUGUUGUUGGGUAGGGGAGCGUUCUGUAAGCCUGCGAAGGUGACCUGUGAGGGUUGCUGGAGGUAUCAGAAGUGCGAAUGCUGACAUAAGUAACGAUAAAGCGGGUGAAAAGCCCGCUCGCCGGAAGACCAAGGGUUCCUGUCCAACGUUAAUCGGGGCAGGGUGAGUCGACCCCUAAGGCGAGGCCGAAAGGCGUAGUCGAUGGGAAACAGGUUAAUAUUCCUGUACUUGGUGUUACUGCGAAGGGGGGACGGAGAAGGCUAUGUUAGCCGGGCGACGGUUGUCCCGGUUUAAGCAUGUAGGCUGGUUAUCCAGGCAAAUCCGGAUAAUCAAGGCUGAGGUGUGAUGACGAGGCACUACGGUGCUGAAGUAACAAAUGCCCUGCUUCCAGGAAAAGCCUCUAAGCAUCAGGUAACAUCAAAUCGUACCCCAAACCGACACAGGUGGUCAGGUAGAGAAUACCAAGGCGCUUGAGAGAACUCGGGUGAAGGAACUAGGCAAAAUGGUGCCGUAACUUCGGGAGAAGGCACGCUGGUGUGUAGGUGAAGUCCCUGCGGAUGGAGCUGAGACCAGUCGAAGAUACCAGCUGGCUGCAACUGUUUAUUAAAAACACAGCACUGUGCAAACACGAAAGUGGACGUAUACGGUGUGACGCCUGCCCGGUGCCGGAAGGUUAAUUGAUGGGGUUAUCCGUAAGGAGAAGCUCUUGAUCGAAGCCCCGGUAAACGGCGGCCGUAACUAUAACGGUCCUAAGGUAGCGAAAUUCCUUGUCGGGUAAGUUCCGACCUGCACGAAUGGCGUAAUGAUGGCCAGGCUGUCUCCACCCGAGACUCAGUGAAAUUGAACUCGCUGUGAAGAUGCAGUGUACCCGCGGCAAGACGGAAAGACCCCGUGAACCUUUACUAUAGCUUGACACUGAACAUUGAGCCUUGAUGUGUAGGAUAGGUGGGAGGCUUUGAAGCGUGGACGCCAGUCUGCGUGGAGCCAACCUUGAAAUACCACCCUUUAAUGUUUGAUGUUCUAACGUUGGCCCCUUACCGGGGUUGCGGACAGUGUCUGGUGGGUAGUUUGACUGGGGCGGUCUCCUCCCAAAGCGUAACGGAGGAGCACGAAGGUUAGCUAAUCCUGGUCGGACAUCAGGAGGUUAGUGCAAUGGCAUAAGCUAGCUUGACUGCGAGCGUGACGGCGCGAGCAGGUGCGAAAGCAGGUCAUAGUGAUCCGGUGGUUCUGAAUGGAAGGGCCAUCGCUCAACGGAUAAAAGGUACUCCGGGGAUAACAGGCUGAUACCGCCCAAGAGUUCAUAUCGACGGCGGUGUUUGGCACCUCGAUGUCGGCUCAUCACAUCCUGGGGCUGAAGUAGGUCCCAAGGGUAUGGCUGUUCGCCAUUUAAAGUGGUACGCGAGCUGGGUUUAGAACGUCGUGAGACAGUUCGGUCCCUAUCUGCCGUGGGCGCUGGAGAAUUGAGGGGGGGCUGCUCCUAGUACGAGAGGACCGGAGUGGACGCAUCACUGGUGUUCGGGUUGUCAUGCCAAUGGCACUGCCCGGUAGCUAAAUGCGGAAGAGAUAAGUGCUGAAAGCAUCUAAGCACGAAACUUGCCCCGAGAUGAGUUCUCCCUGAGACUUUAAGUCUCCUGAAGGAACGUUAAAGACGAUGACGUUGAUAGGCCGGGUGUGUAAGCGCAGCGAUGCGUUGAGCUAACCGGUACUAAUGAACCGUGAGGCUUAACCUUACAACGCCGAAG
RNAcentral lists this ribosomal RNA (2924 nucleotides) under Klebsiella pneumoniae. RNAcentral's name for it is "bacterial LSU rRNA". It matches the Rfam family "Bacterial large subunit ribosomal RNA". The record is from RNAcentral. Lineage: Bacteria; Pseudomonadati; Pseudomonadota; Gammaproteobacteria; Enterobacterales; Enterobacteriaceae.